AGUUAUCAAGGUCAUUUUCGACUAAAGAAUACAGAAAAAGCGAGAAACAAGAAGCACUCAAGAAAAGCAAAAGUUUUUCUAGCUCUGACAAAUCAAAGCCGAAGUCAAAGCAACGAAUCAAGAGAAAACGAACCUGGAGCCGAGGAGAGCAAAACCACAGGAAAACUAUCAGACUAUGUCGUCAUUUGUCUGACCUCGUGGCUUACACUCCGUCCAGCAGCUUUAAAGGCCUGGAUCUGACUGAAGAUGAAAAUCGUUUGGAGGUGGUAUCGAUACCCGAGAACAAAGCCUAUCGCUAUACRGACACCAARUCMGUGCAGUUCGUCAAGUACACGUGUCAGAAGCUGUGUCGCAUCUACCCUGCUGGGUACAGAAUCGAYUCUAGUAAUCCUAAUCCACAAACCUUUUGGAACUGUGGCUGUC
Long non-coding RNA from Actinia tenebrosa (Australian red waratah sea anemone), 423 nucleotides. The record is from RefSeq and is a predicted model, not a curated record. Lineage: Eukaryota; Metazoa; Cnidaria; Anthozoa; Actiniaria; Actiniidae.